Molecule: transfer RNA, 80 nt
Filed under: Oscillospiraceae bacterium
Lineage: Bacteria; Bacillati; Bacillota; Clostridia; Eubacteriales; Oscillospiraceae
Also listed under: 1 other name
Description: tRNA-Leu
Rfam family: tRNA
About the family: Transfer RNA (tRNA) molecules are approximately 80 nucleotides in length. Their secondary structure includes four short double-helical elements and three loops (D, anti-codon, and T loops). Further hydrogen bonds mediate the characteristic L-shaped molecular structure. tRNAs have two regions of fundamental functional importance: the anti-codon, which is responsible for specific mRNA codon recognition, and the 3' end, to which the tRNAs corresponding amino acid is attached (by aminoacyl-tRNA synthetases). tRNAs cope with the degeneracy of the genetic code in two manners: having more than one tRNA (with a specific anti-codon) for a particular amino acid; and 'wobble' base-pairing, i.e. permitting non-standard base-pairing at the 3rd anti-codon position.
Source: RNAcentral
GCGGGCGUGGUGGAAUUGGCAGACACGACAGUUUUAGGUGCUGUUACUUCGGUGUGCAGGUUCAAGUCCUGUCGCCCGCA